This is a long non-coding RNA of Lutra lutra (Eurasian river otter), 1874 nucleotides long. RefSeq lists it as uncharacterized. The record is from RefSeq and is a predicted model, not a curated record. NCBI's taxonomy places the organism in Eukaryota, Metazoa, Chordata, Mammalia, Carnivora, Mustelidae. The transcript is spliced from 3 exons.
CUCGUGCUGUCUUUCAAAUAAAUAAAAUCUUAAAAAGAGAAGGGGUCAUCACAGAGAGCAGGCAGGCCACGGGUGGGGAACCAGAGCCUGUUUCUGAGCACAUGCUGGACCCACUUGUUCAUCUCACAGACCCCGUGCUAACAAAGGAGUCAUCAAACCGCGCUCGGGCUGCUCAGCCGGCACCCCUGCACUCACUGAGGCCUCCCAUAGCAGCUGACCCACUUGCCGACCCUGCUGACCAGAGCCUGCUGUCCCCACUCCGUCUGCGCCACCGUAAUUCAGGAGUGCUGCCCUUGACAGUUGGACUGAAGAGCUUCACCUGCUUCCCGGCUGCCUCACCCUCUCCCGAGAGCGUGGGCCCAAGGCAACAGGAUCCCAGUGGGUUGAUCUGCCGCUCCUCUGACCUUCGCGAAUGAAGAGAGACGUACCACACAAGCUCACAUGGGUUCUUCCCCAAAGGAAUGCUUUAUUGACAAAGUCCCCAUUAUCCACUUUAAGGAAAAGAUGAAUCAGUUACUACACUUGUGUCCUGCUUUCUCAGCACACCCCAUCCGUGAUUCUAACCCUGAAGAAAAAACACCAAAUGCUGUUCUUCCCAUGGCGCCAGCACAGACCGUAGUCCACCCAGGGCGUCUGAAGUGACCAGCGGACACUCGGCUUACCAGAGGACACCACGGUCUACUAGAGUGGACUCUGCGCGUGCACAGGUGCGCUCUCGGCCUGCUGGAAGCCAAUAAGGCACGGAGCUGCCCCUCCAGACACACCCCAUGCGUGGGGCCCUGACCACAAGGCUGCUGGGGUGUGGCAGCUUCAGAAUGGGAAUGAGAUCUUUGUAGCUCCUGAGAAAAGGCGAAAGCAGAGUCCCAGCCGACCCGAUGCAGGGCCCAUCUGCUUCCCACUUGUCCCCAGGGUGCGGCAAACGGGCAUGUUGGAGCCCAGCCGUCUGUGCAGGGUGUUGGCUUCUGCUUCUCCUACCCACCCACACCUCCACGCCCAGAGGCCCAGAGCCCUCUGGCUGGCAGGAGCUAUCCCAGUCCUUGAGGAGAGAGAAGCAAGCUUCAUACACUGGAAUGCAGUGCAUCUGCUGAACAAAACACACCAAGGGUCCAAGCAUGCUGCCCUUCGGGCUAGACGCAGAAGUCUACAUAACGCUCGAAACCCACUGAAGAACCCUUAUUUUCAUAUAAAAAACAUUAUAAACAAAUAAAGCAUAUUGCGAUGUAAGGCUUGUAUGUCAGCUUGAGUCCAAAGAAAUAGUGUUUUCUAAUGGAGACUAAAGCUGCUUUGCUUGGCUUAAAUUUUCGAAAAAUUCGCUGCAUUUAAAAAAUAAAGAAUUUGCUUUUGUUAAAGCUAGAUCAUUAGUGUAAGAAUUAGGCGCUGUUGAUAACCAGGUUCUUGCUGGAGGGUUUCAAAAAUUGGAGAGUUUUCUCAUUUAGCAUUUGAAAUAAAAACUGAAGAUCAGAGGACUUUCUGGACGAAUCUUUCUUCCGCAGAUUCCUUCUAUAACUCACGAAAGGGGAGGCUGAGGAAAUACCACUUAUUUUAUGCUUAUCACUCUCCGGUUCCUUCCAUGUUCUCGCGAACUAACAAGACCGCCAGAGGGCCCACUGUCCUGUCUACUCCCUGCACCCCAGGAAGGACGGCACAGUGGUUUGCAUCUACCAACUUCAGUGGAAAGCAUCUGCGUACAAGACCGCGUUCUGUAGAACUCAUGCGCACACAGCAGCCACGUAUCCAUGGGAAUGGCAGGACCCUCCUCAAAGCCAGCUCGGUGCAUCCACCCGAGGUCUGACGGGCUGCUCCGCUACAGCGUCGCGGCUGUGACGAUGAGGGUGGGCUUGCACUUCUCCAUGGCAGGGCAAAGCUGGGAUGGG